CGUGGAGGCGGUUUAUUAAGUUAGUUGUUAAAUCGCUCGGCUUAACCGGGCAAUCGCGAUUAAAACUGAUAAGCUAGAGUGUGGGAGAGAAAGGUAGAAUUCUCGGAGUAGCGGUAAAAUGCGUAGAUCUCGAGAGGAAUACCGGUUGCGAAGGCGGCCUUUUGGCCCACCACUGACGCUGGAGCGCGAAAGCGUGGGGAGCAAACA
This 207-nucleotide ribosomal RNA is filed under the name uncultured bacterium. Its description in RNAcentral is "partial 16S ribosomal RNA". It matches the Rfam family "Bacterial small subunit ribosomal RNA", at positions 568 to 774 of the family's 1533-position model. The record is from RNAcentral.